This 465-nucleotide ribosomal RNA is filed under the name Vreelandella stevensii. Its description in RNAcentral is "partial 16S ribosomal RNA". It matches the Rfam family "Bacterial small subunit ribosomal RNA", at positions 338 to 795 of the family's 1533-position model. Lineage: Bacteria; Pseudomonadati; Pseudomonadota; Gammaproteobacteria; Oceanospirillales; Halomonadaceae. The record is from RNAcentral.
CCUACGGGUGGCUGCAGUGGGGAAUAUUGGACAAUGGGGGGAACCCUGAUCCAGCCAUGCCGCGUGUGUGAAGAAGGCCCUCGGGUUGUAAAGCACUUUCAGUGAGGAAGAACGCCUGGUGGUUAAUACCCAUCAGGAAAGACAUCACUCACAGAAGAAGCACCGGCUAACUCCGUGCCAGCAGCCGCGGUAAUACGGAGGGUGCGAGCGUUAAUCGGAAUUACUGGGCGUAAAGCGCGCGUAGGUGGCUUGAUAAGCCGGUUGUGAAAGCCCCGGGCUCAACCUGGGAACGGCAUCCGGAACUGUCAAGCUAGAGUGCAGGAGAGGAAGGUAGAAUUCCAGGUGUAGCGGUGAAAUGCGUAGAGAUCGGGAGGAAUACCAGUGGCGAAGGCGGCCUUCUGGACUGACACUGACACUGAGGUGCGAAAGCGUGGGUAGCAAACAGGAUUAGAUACCCUGGUAGUC